UUUUGACCUCGGAUCAGGUAGGGAUACCCGCUGAACUUAAGCAUAUCAAUAAGCGGAGGAAAAGAAACCAACAGGGAUUGCCCUAGUAACGGCGAGUGAAGCGGCAACAGCUCAAAUUUGAAAUCUGGCUCUUUUAGAGUCCGAGUUGUAAUUUGCAGAGGGCGCUUUGGCUUUGGCAGCGGUCCAAGUUCCUUGGAACAGGACGUCACAGAGGGUGAGAAUCCCGUACGUGGUCGCUGGCUAUUGCCGUGUAAAGCCCCUUCGACGAGUCGAGUUGUUUGGGAAUGCAGCUCUAAAUGGGAGGUACAUUUCUUCUAAAGCUAAAUAUUGGCCAGAGACCGAUAGCGCACAAGUAGAGUGAUCGAAAGAUGAAAAGCACUUUGGAAAGAGAGUCAAACAGCACGUGAAAUUGUUGAAAGGGAAGCGCUUGCAGCCAGACUUGCUUACAGUUGCUCAUCCGGGCUUUUGCCCGGUGCACUCUUCUGUAGGCAGGCCAGCAUCAGUUUGGGCGGUAGGAUAAAGGUCUCUGUCACGUACCUCCUUUCGGGGAGGCCUUAUAGGGGAGGCGACAUACUACCAGCCUGGACUGAGGUCCGCGCAUCUGCUAGGAUGCUGGCGUAAUGGCUGUAA
This 630-nucleotide ribosomal RNA is filed under the name Alternaria dianthi. RNAcentral describes it as "eukaryotic LSU rRNA". It matches the Rfam family "Eukaryotic large subunit ribosomal RNA", at positions 1 to 643 of the family's 3401-position model. Lineage: Eukaryota; Fungi; Ascomycota; Dothideomycetes; Pleosporales; Pleosporaceae. The record is from RNAcentral.